This is a long non-coding RNA of Strongylocentrotus purpuratus (purple sea urchin), 1038 nucleotides long. RefSeq lists it as uncharacterized. NCBI's taxonomy places the organism in Eukaryota, Metazoa, Echinodermata, Echinoidea, Camarodonta, Strongylocentrotidae. The record is from RefSeq and is a predicted model, not a curated record. The transcript is spliced from 2 exons.
CACACACACACACACGUACUACACACAGCCAAUCCUGUGGAACCGUUGUGCAAUAUAACCCCGCAUAUUUUGAAUGGCUAGCUAUGUGUACUGUGUACGUGUCAAAGGAUCGCUGUACAAAGCUUGCAUUGGGAAUAGUGCACGCACAAGCUACACUAUAUAGCUACUGUGUGCAUUAUAAAUUCACAAUGUAGCUUUGCCUAGACAGGAGCUAGACUGAAUCUUGGUGUUUUCUCUGCAAAAUAAUGCUGAAUACUGAGUUUUCCUGCUAAUCUACAACAGUAUGGAUAUAGACGCAACAUGACAAAUGAGUAGUUUCCAUAUCGACCUCGUUCUUUAUCAUCAUCUUCACCAAUAUACAUCAACGCCACCAUCACCAUGUCUUUGACGUCGACCUCCGUUUUCGCGUUUGAACUUUGAAGAUUGUUGCGAACUCUAAUAAUGAAUUGGAUAUUGGCAUUAUCGACGUUUUUUCUGUCUUUGAACACUAGUCUCAUCGAACUUUGAUUAAAGGUAAGAACCUCCUUUUUACCUUCUUCGAUUUGCGUUUCGUCGUUUGCAGGUCUGAUCCUGACUCCGAUUAAUGAUGACCUAACCUAUCGUUCUGUCUUCAAUCACCCUCGACGUCAAACUCUAUACCGCGUUUCACCAUCGCCGAACACGGACUCCACAUCCAAUCGACAUCGCCGACUCUUGACUGUCGUUCAUCAUUCAUUAUGGAACUGUUUCUUCAAAUUUCGUCUUUCGACUGAAUUCGUGUACGACAUCGUCAACGAAUCUCGCACCUCCGCUGGAAGGACAGUUUUUUUAUAAUGUACUAUGUAAUUUGAAUAUGAGCGGCAGUCUUCCGCUAUAGAAAUAGACUUACCACUUUAAAAUAUUGUUGUGUGCUGAAAAUGUUUAGUGUCCUGUAUAAUGAUGUUACAAGCGGCAGUCUUCGCUAUAGAAAUAGACUUCAGUUUUCGACUGUAAAUUGUUUUAUAUAUUUUACGCGAGCUAGAUUUUAGCUCGUUUGAAUAAAUGUUUUUUUAAAGUAAA